GCCGUCGCAAAUGCGCAAACGACCUGCUCAGAAGAAACUAGAAACUAGAGCGAAAUUCGUCGGGUUUUGAUUCGCGGUGUUUCGGCAAGCGCUUAGCGCAGGCAAAAACAGUCUGAAGUGAAACGUUUGUGCGGCUGGUCGUUGUUUACGUUUUGUGCGCAGCGCCGUGGAGAACUUGAUAAAAACGGAACAGCUGGUGCUGGAGAACUCGAUCGGUGAUCAAAAGAGAUUUUGCCGGCAGCCGGCCGACAAUAUUGUUCCGCCGAGGAUGCGACGAAGCGAACAAACGAUUGGCAUCAAUCAAUCUGAAUA
This is a long non-coding RNA of Culex quinquefasciatus (southern house mosquito), 312 nucleotides long. RefSeq lists it as uncharacterized. NCBI's taxonomy places the organism in Eukaryota, Metazoa, Arthropoda, Insecta, Diptera, Culicidae. The record is from RefSeq and is a predicted model, not a curated record. The transcript has 3 exons.